Molecule: ribosomal RNA, 254 nt
Filed under: uncultured bacterium
Lineage: Bacteria
Description: partial 16S ribosomal RNA
Rfam family: Bacterial small subunit ribosomal RNA
Source: RNAcentral
GACGAACCGUGCGAACGUUAUUCGGAAUCACUGGGCUUAAAGCGCGUGUAGGCGGGACGGCACGUCGGUCGCUGAAAUCCCCCGGCUCAACCGGGGAACGGGCGCCGAUACGACCGCCCUGGAGGGGCGUAGGGGGACCUGGAACUUCCGGUGGAGCGGUGAAAUGCGUUGAGAUCGGAAGGAACGCCCGUGGCGAAAGCGAGGUCCUGGACGCCUACUGACGCUGAAACGCGAAAGCCAGGGGAGCGAACGGG